Molecule: ribosomal RNA, 492 nt
Filed under: uncultured bacterium
Lineage: Bacteria
Description: partial 16S ribosomal RNA
Rfam family: Bacterial small subunit ribosomal RNA
Source: RNAcentral
AGUGAACGCUGGCGGUAGGCCUAACACAUGCAAGUCGAACGGCAGCACAGUAAGAGCUUGCUCUUACGGGUGGCGAGUGGCGGACGGGUGAGGAAUACAUCGGAAUCUACUUUUUCGUGGGGGAUAACGUAGGGAAACUUACGCUAAUACCGCAUACGACCCACGGGUGAAAGCAGGGGAUCUUCGGACCUUGCGCGAUUGAAUGAGCCGAUGUCGGAUUAGCUAGUUGGCGGGGUAAAGGCCCACCAAGGCGACGAUCCGUAGCUGGUCUGAGAGGAUGAUGAGCCACACUGGAACUGAGACGCGAUCCAGACUCCUACGGGAGGCAGCAGUGGGGAAGAAUGGACAAUGGGCGCAAGCCUGAUCCAGCCAUACCGCGUGGGUGAAGAAGGCCUUCGGGUUGUAAAGCCCUUUUGUUGGGAAAGAAAAGCAGCAGGUUAAUACCCCGCUGUUCUGACGGUACCCAAAGAAUAAGCACCGGCUAACUUCGUG